This 780-nucleotide unclassified non-coding RNA is filed under the name Hevea brasiliensis (rubber tree). The record is from RNAcentral. Lineage: Eukaryota; Viridiplantae; Streptophyta; Magnoliopsida; Malpighiales; Euphorbiaceae.
CAGCACCAAGCCUUCUCACACCCCGGCUGACAUCAGUAAAUUCCUUGAACAAUUCCAUAUUGGUUGCCCAUGGAUCAUCAUGCUCAUAUCCAAAUCCAGUCACUAGAAGAGAUUGUUCCACCUUGUCAGUUCGACUGACAUGAAUCUUUUCACCAUUAGCAAAGGCUCCUUUGCCUGCAGCUGCAGAAAAUAUUCGAGUAUUCCAACACAUAGGGCCACCAACAAACUCAACCACAGCAGCUGCAGCUGGCUUCCCUCUAAAAAGAACACCCACAGAGACUGCAAAGCUGGGAUAGCCAUGCGCAAAGUUUGUUGUUCCAUCUAAAGGAUCAAUGCACCAAAGAUAAUCAGAUGACGAGUCCCCAAUAAUUCCUCCUUCCUCCCCGAGAAUUAGAUGAUCUGGAAAAUUCUUCCUCACGACUUCAAGGAUAGCAAAUUCACUAUUUUUAUCUGUGUCGGUCACUAGGUCAGUGAGCCCUUUAUAGGUAACAUUUCGGGGCUUAUUCACAGCAUCCAUUACAACCUGAGCACCAGUCUUAGCUGCAGCUUCAACCACUUUGAGUAGCUCACUGGAGGGGAUACUUCCGGUUGAAUCAGCAGCAACCUUUGAGUACUCUUUCUUGAUACCCACCUCCGAUAAAGCAGCCUUGGUGCAAAAUCCCCCGCCAGUGGACAAACUUGUACAAAACCCAUAUUGUGAAUUGGUGCUACAACUCUUGGGAAAUACAGGAAGACGAAUUCUGGGUAACUGACAAAUUCUCAAAGAAGAAAUUGUGGAUG